Molecule: ribosomal RNA, 232 nt
Filed under: uncultured bacterium
Lineage: Bacteria
Description: partial 16S ribosomal RNA
Rfam family: Bacterial small subunit ribosomal RNA
Source: RNAcentral
UGGGCAACCUGCCCUCAGCUCUGGGAUAACUCCAAGAAAUUGGUGCUAAUACCGGAUGUGACCGCUGACCGCAUGGUCUGGUGGUGGAAAGAUUCAUCGGCUGAGGAUGGGCCCGCGGCCUAUCAGCUUGUUGGGUGGGGUGAUGGCCUACCAAGGCGACGACGGGUAGCCGGCCUGAGAGGGUGACCGGCCACACGUGGGACUGAGACACGGCCCAGACCUCCGUAGGGAG